UCUACAACUUGCAAUACCAAAAACUUUCAAGAUCUUUCUUCAUCUGUUAUUCGAAAUCAAUUAUAGCAUGCAUGAUACAUAUAUAUUUAAGUAGCAAAUCUAGAAAAUGGGGUGGAUAUAUAGGAUAGUAGUUCAAAACAUAUUUUUAUAAGUUUAAUAUAUCUAUACCUUGCUUACAGUCAAAGUUCACUAGCUUAAUGGUAUUGCUGUUUGACACUGUAACCUCAUUUAUUAAGUUGUCACGGUAGUCCUUGAUAAUGAAGAGCUCGAAUGCCAUUUAUGAUCCCUAAAUACGUACAUAACCACAUGAAAAAUCAAACAAAAAAGUUGGUCUUUUUAAAUAAAAUAAAAAAAAAAUUAAUGAAAUAAACAACUAGUCUUGCUACUUGAAUGGGGUAAAGAAUUCUUUUGUCACCAUUAGAAUUAUACUUUCAAAUAUUAUGGCAGUAUGGCCAUUUUGGUAGUCUACAUCAGCUUCUUCUGCUUGCAUUUUAUAAAAUCAUAGUCAUUGGAAAUUGAUCUCUGUAGACCAAGGUGUUAAAGCAUGGAAUCAUAGUCCUUGUAACAUCUUUUUAAAAUAAAAUAAAGUCAUAAUCAUAAUAAAUACAUAAAUAUAAUAAAGCAGCAUAUCAGAACACAAUUGGAAGAAAAAAGGGAUUAUACAUUACCCGGUAAAACUUUCUCAUAAUGUGAAGUUAUUCUCUCACAAUAUGUCACACACAGUCUUUGAAACUCCAAAACCUGAUGGUGUUUGGGAAGUACUUAUUCAGGAAUAGUUCCUUGAAUUGCUCCCAAGUUAAGGUUGAAAUGUCGUGAGUACUUUUCAUCAGUGAUCAACUUCAUCAUCCAAUUCAUAUACAGCUAGUGCAAUUCGGUCGGCUCGUUCCCAUUGUAUCCAACAUUUUCUCAAUCUAGCGGAGCCAAUUCUCCUCUACUCUCAGGUUUGGCAUGUGAUUUCGUGUAUCCAUUGUCUAUUGAACUUUAACUUCCAAGAUUAAUUAAAUUACUCUUAAGGAAUCGCCUUUGUAAGAAGAACACAAUUUAAUUGACAAAUUAUGAACAUAAUGGUGGAUGCCAAUGACUACCCAAAAACGAGCAACCAUUGCAUAGAUAGAGGAUGGGCCAUUGCAGGAACUGAAAAUCCCUAAUCAUUUUGGAAACCAAAUUUUGGAAGAAUUAGGACAACAGUUAAGGGGGAAUAGGCAGAAUAAUAGGAUCCAUCUUUUCUUGGAGUUUAGAAAGUCAAGGACCUCUAGGGGUUCCUGAUUACAAAUCUAAGCUUGGUUGUUUCUGGACCAGUCAAGGACCUCUUCUGGGUCGUUGUCCUGGGAUGAGCUAAUUGCUUGCCCCGAUGUAAAGCAUGGUGAGAUCGCUGACUGGGCGGAACCCUAGUUCUCAGCUUGUGGAAUGUGCCAAAACCGUAGCCCAUUCUAUAAAUUUUUGGUCGUCUUUCUCAAGCUCGAGUGCAUGCUUGAGGGCCCGAUACUGACUCUUGAGUUGGCAUCGGAUCAUAGGCCCUCUUUUGAUCGGGGGUGGGAUUCACUUCCUCGUAAACUUUUUUACCUCUUCGAUUACACCUGAGGUCAUAAAUUGCGGGUCAAGAAGUUCAAUGUGGUGUUGACCCAGAGAGGUCGUGGUACCAGACGUUUGUAUCAGAGCCUAAGUUCAACACUAUUAUUUAAUAUGCUCUAGUUAUCUUUUUCCUUAUACACUAAUGUAUUACUAUAACACUAUUAUUUAAUAUUAACUUAAAAGAGACUAAUAACAGAUUUCCUUUCUUUAACGUAUGAUAAGUUGUGACGCCUCAAAUCCAAGGGUUAAUAUACCGAAGGUCAGAGGAGUCAAUAACCACUUUAGAUAAUAAGUAACGCGGAGAUAGAUAAUAAUUACAAUGUUACAAAUUUUAAUUAGUGUAACAAAACGGUUUCUAACUUCGUUUAAGAUGGCUUCAAAUGUCUUCGACUCCUCGUCAGCCCCAUAUGAGGUUGGAAUGCCCAGUAAACAUGAUGAACAAGUAAACAAUUAGAGAGUUACAAGGUCGGUAACGUACCGUGUAGCGCGAAUGCCUUUACCCCGAAUGCCUUCUACUGUUACGUACCGCGUGUAGCGCCAACCGAGGACCUCUAAAGAGACGGUAAAAGAGCCUUGCCCAUUCCUUCCUUGCAUCCUUACACCAAGCACCUAGGGUCCGAAUAUAACCAAUCCAGUCAAGAGUUUCGAAAUACCACUUGCGCAAUACUUUACUUCAAAUAGUGAACACGUCCCGCCAACCAAUUCAAUUCAAUUCAAAUACAACAUUAUCUCAUAUCAUUAUUCAAUUGAUCGAAACGCAGUUACCACCGCAAUUAAGUUUUAAGUUAGAACAAAAUUAUCAAGAUAAUAAUUUCUAUAUAAGCAUGAGUAUCAUCAAAGGUCUAUUGUAAGGAACGUAACUAUAACAUAUAACAUAUGCAAAUAUCAUAUCAAGACACAUUUUUAGAUUUUUCCUAAACCUGGCCUUUCCAUAAUUUUUAUCUAGUUUUUAGAAUAUUUUUCAGAAGUGGCAUAGCUUUUCUAGAUUUUUAGUUAUUUAAAAAAUACUCCAGUGCUGUCUAGAUUUGUACCUAUUAAGAGAAAACACAAGAACACAAUUAGAACACAUCUGAAAAUAAUGUUUAAAACCUCUAAGAACAUGGUAUUUGAAAGAGCAAAAUAAAAGGUACGGUGGUAAUGUGGCUGGCUGGUUAUUUGCACAAUUUCUCCUCUCCACCACCAAACUCUCUCUCUCUUUUUUCUCUCUCAGCCGUUGGAGUAGUGUGUGUGUAUGUGUUCAACAAGUGGGGAUGAGCGUAUAUUUAUAGAAAAAAAAAUGGUAAAAAGACUACCCUUGGUUCCAAUUAAUUGAAUAGUGCUUUGAUUUAGUUUAAAUAUAAUGGAAUGAGGGAUUAGGCUUAGGUCUAAUUUAAUUCCUUCUAAUUAUAAGUACAUGCAUAUAUUUCAAAAAACUUUUAACUUCACUUAACUUUCUCAAAUUAUUGCCAAUAUCAACUGAUAUUGGUAAAGCUGCCUUUUGCAAUUUGAAUUUGAGUUCAAACUUCUUAGAAUUUGAUUUGGAACCCAGUUUGACUAUAAACCCUACCAACUUUACAUGGCUUAAAUGAAUUAUAAACCCUAAUAAGUUUGUUCUGAAAGCAUAAAUUUGAGGGUAUAGCCUUUUUGCACACUCCUCACCGGAGUGAAAAGCAUGGGUUUGAUUUGGAAAAAUAGUUUCGUCUCCAUCAGUUUGGGAUUGUUCUUUCUUUCUUCCUCUUUUCUGGUUUGAGGUAGGGAAUUCUUUAAUGUUUUACAUGAUAUUUAGCUUCAUUAUAUGCUCCUUGAAUAGUGUAGCACUUUGAGGGAUUUGGGUUUGAUUUGGAUUUGAUUUGGGUUUAAUUUAAAUUGAUUUAUAAAAGAGGGGUUUUGGGAUGGUUUCCUUUGAAAUGUUGUUGGAAUGAUUUUGUUGAUGAAAAGUAUUGGAAACUACGAAAAUUGCUUUUAAAUGAGGUUUUUUGAAAGAAACAGAUGUUUGAAAUUAUGGAAAUUUGGAGAUUAUUAGCUUAAACAAUAUAGGAAAUGGAUGAAAUCUUAAAAGAAUGUUAUUAUUCUUGUUUGAGUUGGAAAAGAGGAGAUUUUGGAAUUUAUAUCUAUCACUUGGAAUUUAUCUUUUGAAUAGAGAUAUCUGUUUUGGUUAUCGUGGAAGAUAGCAUUGCUGCUUGUAGAAAUUGCAUAUGAACUACGUUAACGAAAACCCACUGCAUAUGUUUUACACUCGUUUUGAGAAAAUUGAGUGAAAUAUCUUAGUGAAUCUGGUUAGGGAUAUGGUUAUGGUUAAUUAAGUUGGCCUUUGUGUCAUUGUUGAAAGUUCAGAAUUUUGUGUGGUUAGGAUGCGAUUCUUCCGGUUAGUUGCCAAUAAAGUAGCUUUGGUAGUACUUUUAUAGUCUACUUGCAGACACGUACCUAGAGAUUCCUAGAGUGUGUAUUUACUGCCCUGUUUUUUGUUUUGGAAGCAAUGGUUUAUAAACUGUGAUAUAAACUUGGCAUAGUAUUGUUUUGAAAAAGAGAAAGCGCAUGUUUUAUAAUAGCAUUUCGUAUGCAUCAUACAGAUCAUUAAAUUUAUAUCCACUGGGCAUUAGGUCACCCUAUGUGGAAACAACUUUUAGGUGCUAAUAGUAUGCCUCUGCCAAGGGCUUUAUUUUGUAAAUUCGUUUUGUAUAAGCCUAAGGCUUUAUAUUUGUAUUGGGUUUCAACCCACUUUUGUAGUAACCAAGCAAUGUCUUGAUUAUUUGUUUCUUUUGUUUCUAUAUAUUUGUCACAUGCUCUAGAUUCAUAAUCUAGGAUUGGUGGAUGUAUUAUUCAUAAUGCAUGUGACGUCUUUUGUAUUAUUUUUUUAGGAAAUCAAUGAAUGAAAGGUAGUUCUGGAAAUGUUGGUCACGUAAAUAAUUGAGAUUAAUCAGCUUCCGCAUGUAUGUUUGAGAGUAAUGAGGUAUAUCGAUUGUUGUUAUUUUCGGGGUGUUAUUGCCAUCACUUUAGUUUUUGUUUUCCUUUUCCUUUCUUGGACUCAUGGUUCUAAUAGGUUUUGUAUUAAUAGAGAGUAAAGUUGUGUUAACCAUUUGCUAGUUGGCUUGGCAAUGAUAUAAAUAUAUCAAUUAAGGCUGGUAUAGUUUUCGUUUUUUUAUUUGUGGUUUUCUUAUUUGAACUUCCUUGAAGAAAAUAUUUGAAUUUUUGGAAAUAUUUUUUGGUGUACUUUUCUUCUGUUAGAUGCCUUUUCUCUACAAAAUUUAAUUGUAUUUGCUUAUAUGGAUUAAAAAUCUGAUCCUAAUAUUUUUGGUUGUGCUUUUUCUCUUCUUUUUGUUUUUGGGGGUGCUUCUUUUUUUUUUUUUUGUGUGUGUGUUUUAUUUGACAUCCAUAACUACUGUCAGGAGUUCUAUUUUUCUAGCAGUUGGUUUCUUACCUAUUGAUUUUUAUAUUUAUCAAUUUGUAUCGUUUUGUUAUUAUUAUUAUAUUUUUCUCUAUUUAAAAAAAAAAAAAAACUCGUUUGCGGAACAUGUCCAAUGAUGAAUACGGAAGUGUGGAGCAUUGAGUGUUACCCCCAUGAGGAGCUGCGUGUUUCGAUUGUAGUUUUCUUCAACUCGAGCAAUAGACAGAGAUUGGACGAACCAUUGCCUGAGCCAGUGUCGCCGGAGAAAAGCUCAUUUUCGACAAUUUACAAUAUCAGAUUACAUGCAAAGGUUCUUCAGUAAAGAGUUGGAGGGAAAGACCUUCACAAAUUACUAUAGGCUUUGAAACACAAGAUAGACUUGCAUGUAUGAUUUGUGUCAUAUAAACAAUAAUGAUUGUCAAUGUUAUUUGUGAAAUUAUGCAUUUAUAAUUGUCAAUGUUGAAUAAUUUAUUCUCAA
Non-coding RNA from Camellia sinensis, 5414 nucleotides. NCBI's taxonomy places the organism in Eukaryota, Viridiplantae, Streptophyta, Magnoliopsida, Ericales, Theaceae. The record is from RefSeq and is a predicted model, not a curated record.